ACAAAAAAGAAGCAAAAACUGUACUUUAGAGAUAGAACUUUAUGCGGUUGCAGACUGGAACCAAAAGCUCUCCGUCCUUAGCACAUUAAGAGCAAGGAGUGACAAGUCUGAAGUGACAGGUCUGGGAGGAGAGGGACCCUCCUAGGACACAGGAGCACAGAACACGCCCAGUGGAGGCUGCUCACCCAUGGAAUGAGAAUAAAGGCGACUCGACAAAACUGAAUUGUCACUGAAUCAGGAUGCAGCGCCACUGGCCUUUAGGGUACAGACAGCAGCCCCUCCGAGGCCGAUGGGCCAAGCUGGGGAGGUCACUGCUCACAGCCGAGACCCCUGGGGCCACCAGGAGCUCACCAGGAGCUUUGAAAGAACCAAUCUGAAGCUGGGCAUGGUGAUGCACACCUGUAAUCCCAGCACUUGGGAGGCUGAAGCAGGAGGAUUCCCUGAAGUUC
Molecule: long non-coding RNA, 449 nt
Organism: Chinchilla lanigera (long-tailed chinchilla)
Lineage: Eukaryota; Metazoa; Chordata; Mammalia; Rodentia; Chinchillidae
Exons: 3
Source: RefSeq, a predicted model, not a curated record